Molecule: long non-coding RNA, 249 nt
Filed under: Sorghum bicolor (sorghum)
Lineage: Eukaryota; Viridiplantae; Streptophyta; Magnoliopsida; Poales; Poaceae
Description: long non-coding RNA (SBIC_LNC004310)
Source: RNAcentral
AGGAAUUCAGGAUAACAAUCAUCUAUGAUUUUGCUAAGGUCAUCAAGGUGGACACAUGCAUAUGGUAUAUUGUGUUAAUUGUGUAUAGGUAACAAGGAUGAUCCCAAGUUAUACUUGCCUUGAUCAAAGCUCUCCUGAGCCUGCUGGUCUUCAAAGGCUCGAUCUUGAUCAACAACGUACGGCUCACCGUCUAUUCCCAAACAUCAAUCAACAACACGCAAUCGAAUGUAGACAAUCAUACACAAAGCA